ACCUGGGUGGCUCAGUGGUUGAGCAUCUGCCUUUGGCGCAGGUAGUGAUCCUGGGGUCGUGGGAUGGAGUCCCACAUCUGGCU
RNAcentral lists this transfer RNA (83 nucleotides) under Canis lupus familiaris (dog). It matches the Rfam family "tRNA". From Rfam's summary of the family: Transfer RNA (tRNA) molecules are approximately 80 nucleotides in length. Their secondary structure includes four short double-helical elements and three loops (D, anti-codon, and T loops). Further hydrogen bonds mediate the characteristic L-shaped molecular structure. tRNAs have two regions of fundamental functional importance: the anti-codon, which is responsible for specific mRNA codon recognition, and the 3' end, to which the tRNAs corresponding amino acid is attached (by aminoacyl-tRNA synthetases). tRNAs cope with the degeneracy of the genetic code in two manners: having more than one tRNA (with a specific anti-codon) for a particular amino acid; and 'wobble' base-pairing, i.e. permitting non-standard base-pairing at the 3rd anti-codon position. Lineage: Eukaryota; Metazoa; Chordata; Mammalia; Carnivora; Canidae. RNAcentral also lists the same sequence under 1 other name. The record is from Rfam by way of RNAcentral.